AUUUUUAAAGGAUGACUGAGUCGAAGAAAAGCUAUUCCAUUUUUUAAAUCUAUUAUUAUUAAUUUAUGAUGUUUUAUUUGAUGAUAAAUAAUCAUUAUGCCAUUUCCUUAAUUUCCUGGUCCUUAAUUUCUAGAAAAAAAAGUCCUUAAUUUUUUUUGAUAACAGUCCUUUAAAGUGCUUAAUUUUUGCUUUGAUAAAAGAGUGGGAACCCUGCGGGUUGGGUUCGGUGAGAUUCUUGCAUUCUCAUGUGUGACUCUGUUGCAAUUUGCAAGAUAUUCUCAAUUUCAGGCUUCAUUUUCCACCCUCUGAAAUCGAACCGAAAAAUCUCUCAAUCAUUUUAUGGUGGCUAAUGUAAUCAAGAAAAAAAUUCUCUAUCAGAAACAAGUUAUUUUAUCAUAAUCAUGAAAAGUCUUUGAUUACUAGUUUGGAUUUUGUUAAUAUUUUUAGUGCUUAAAAAGUAUUUAAAAGGUGCUUAUUUUUUGUUGAAAGAUUUGACUGCGCACCCUGAUCUAAUGAACAAGAGAACAAAUCACACAUAAACAACUGGAAAUUUGCAUAAAGAGAAAAUACAUACAAACCUGUUAGUCAGCUUGUCUUUACCUGUUUAAUAGUAAAUCGCUUGCAUGCAUUGUGAGGGAAAGAAAAAUACUUGGAACCUUGAGUAACACAUUAAAGAACUUAGUUAAAGAUGGUGAUCCAAACAGUGGGAAACCAUAUUGUGAAGAAGGCUAUGAAGAUGAAUAUGUAGACAGGAUGUUGCCUUUAUGAUGGAGAGUAGUAUUGUGUGAUUCAUGAUAGCUCUGGUAAGAAUUAUACUCUUAUGCUUCAAUAAAUUUUCGUACCGUUCAUAUGAAACGAAAGAUUCCG
Molecule: non-coding RNA, 867 nt
Organism: Parasteatoda tepidariorum (common house spider)
Lineage: Eukaryota; Metazoa; Arthropoda; Arachnida; Araneae; Theridiidae
Source: RefSeq, a predicted model, not a curated record